Paramuricea clavata is the source of this 2990-nucleotide non-coding RNA. The record is from the annotation of a GenBank genome assembly. Lineage: Eukaryota; Metazoa; Cnidaria; Anthozoa; Malacalcyonacea; Plexauridae.
CACGACCAGUGUGGGGAAUUCGAGAAUCAACUCCUCGGUAUGCUGGAACAAGUUUGUGGCGUGAAGCAUUCCCGGACGACCCCUUACCAUCCGCAGGGCAACGGUCAAGUGGAAAGAUUUAAUAGGACGCUGUUAGACAUGCUCAGACCACUCCCUGAAAAUUAAAAGUCACGCUGGAAAGACCAUGUUAAGAAGGUUGUACAUGCGUACAACUGUACACGGAACGACACAACCGGCUAUUCACCAUUCUUUCUCCUCUUUGGACGACAAACCCGACUAACAAUCAACUUUCUGCUCGAUCCCAACCUAGUAAUCACCAGCAAGACCAAUCCUCCAGUACGUGUCAGAGUGGGAAAACGCCAUGCACGAGGCAUAUCGGCUGGCUGGACGAAAGACAAAAGAGAAAGGUGAUAAAGCGAAGAAACACUGUGAUCGUUUGGACGGAGUUCACUAAUACAGCCCGGCGAUAGAGUAUUGGUACGGAACUUGAGUGAACCUGGCGGUCCUGGAAAGUUGAAAAGAAAAAAAGUGUAUAACCACUAUUAGAUUGUAAAACAGUACUAAUAAAGAUUUGAAGCACAACUUGAUACAUAUAAUUUACAAGGACUUGUAGCAACGAGCCUAACACACAUAUCUGAUGAAGAAAGUCGCUUUCUUGUCGCAAUUCACCAACAAAAAUUGUCUCUGCGUUGCGAAAGAUUGUUUCGGACUGCCUCCUUCAGAUUCUUGCUGUGUUUUGGGUCAGCAACAGAAUUACAAAGUCUAUAUAUGGCUAUAACGCGAAAUAUUAGGCGCCCAUUCUUUUUUUGUAGAAUUUCUUUGGCGUGUCCUUGCUAAGCCAUCGACUCGAUUGAAUGACAGACUUUCGAAAUUUGCGCUUAAUUCCAUGCUCAAAACUGUAAUUCAAUACCUUAUCUUAUACAUGUAAUCAAUUUCAAUGUUUUCUUGUCGUUACACUUUCUCAUUUAAAAAUUUGUACACUAUGCAAUUUGUCUUGCAACUUGUGUCGCAUAUUCGGUAGCCCGUUAGAGACACGCUUGUUUCGUGGAAAAUCACAUUCGUUUUGUGUACUUGAAGUAGUUUUGCUUAAUAACCGAGCGUUUCCGUAUAGUUGUGCGACGUUUCCGUAGAAAAUUCAAACAACUUCCGCGGAAAUAUAGACGCUUCCAUACAAAUGUAGAUUUCUUCCGUACAAAUGUGGAUGCAUUCCAUCAAAAUUUUGUACAUGCCUUUUAUACAAAUGUAGACGGGUUCCGUUGAGAUCUAAAACUAAUGCGCGCGCGUAGUGUGGUAACUAUAGUAACUUCAGUUGAGCUAUAUUAUGCAAAAUGGCGGCAUGUGAACAGUGUUCGCACGAAUUCGCUCUUCCAAUUUGCAAUUUUUGUCAAAAUGGUGGUCAUAAAGCAAGUAAGAUCGUACAAUCAAUUGUAGUAUAUGACAAAUAUUUGGUGUGAUGUAAUAUAAAUGGACGCUUUGUUGUUUUUAGUCACGGAAUUCAAAAUUAGUCAUGGGAUAUUAUAAAUCUAUACUAGUUUACCCACAGGGUAGUGAAUGUUGCUUUGGUAUAACCGAUAUAGCAUUGUUCCAAAAAUCUUUAAUAUUUUAAGAAUAAGAAAUAUUUGUAAUGAAUUGGAAUCAUCCAAAAUGUUUAAUAAUAAUGUAUAUCAAAUAAGGCAAAAUAUAUACAAGACAACCUGACAUGUAGAAUCUGUUCACUUACGCACUGCCUUGUAAUGCAGUACAAGUAAAAGUAUAAGUACAUUAUGACAAAGCAUUUUUAAAUUAAAUCCUAAAACAUAAUUAAAUCAUACCGCACAUUCACGAUUUUAAUAUCGUAUUUCAGCCGCGUUUAUACUACUUGGCGCAUUCGCUGCGUUAUAUUCAUUUAUAUACACAGAUUUAUUACUAAUAAAUCAACACUUUAUGAUAAUAUAGAACUAACAAAAUGCAGUCAGCUUUUCAUAAAUAAACCUUUUAAAGCAUGUUAUUGUUAUUGCAGACUAGAGGCAAAAAGAACCACAUACCAAAUUUAAGGAUACCAGGAUUCAAAGUUGAGUAUCUCGCCAAGAAUCCCGCAUCCCAUUUCAUGGAUACUGGUUAUCGGUGCCAUAUAAGAAUUAUACCAUCCGAAAUAUACCCAUCCAAAUAAGUUGGACCAUAACGUUCUUUGUUACAAAUUACAAUGACAACAGGGACUCAACAUUCAACAACUAAACAAUUCAUUAACAAUCUAAAACGCACAUAAUCCUUCAAGAAACUUCUAUAUGGUAGUCCUCAAUGAGUAAAGACUGGUGGCAAUAAACUGAUAAUAUUCAAAAUCUAUUAGAAGCCGGUUUGGUAUCCGAAACUGAAUUUUUGGUAUCCUGUGGAUAGCGAGAUACUGCAAAUUUCAAACCCGGAAUAAGGACAACUUUGACCUUAAUACUUCACCUACUACUAAAUAUCGUAGUUAUAUUUACAUUUACAUGUAUGUAACCAGAACGAGGGCAUUGUCCAAGGGAAAUAUCACUUAAUAUGUAGCGAAACAUUUUGUCAAUUUCCAAAGUGAAGGUUAUAUAAAUGACAUAUAAUACAGAAAACUUAAACGUUAUCAUGCAGUUUGUUUAUUUUCCCAUCUAGGCACGAGGUUUCCACGUGUGCGGCGCGUGCUGGCAUGGGAUAUUCUCCUACCCCAACUCUGUUGACGAAGCCACGAAGGGCCUUUGCCUUUGCUUGAAACGUCGAGUUUCUGCUUAUUAUUUCAGCUAGAAAGAUACGCACACAUUUCCGCGAGUUUACAUUGGUACUACCUGCACUGGCACAGAUAUUAUAGUAUCCCAUGCCUGUCGUGGGAUAUUAUAGAAUUAUAGUAUCCCAUCAUUUUAUUGUGGAGUUUUAAUUUCCGUGACUAAAAACAACAAAGCGACCAUUUACAUCACACCAAACAUUUGUCAUAUAGUACAAUUGAUUGUACGAUCUUACUUGGGGGCCAUUCACAAAGGAUGUCCGAG